Molecule: ribosomal RNA, 400 nt
Filed under: uncultured bacterium
Lineage: Bacteria
Description: bacterial SSU rRNA
Rfam family: Bacterial small subunit ribosomal RNA
Source: RNAcentral
GGGAAUCUUGCACAAUGGGGGAAACCCUGAUGCAGCGACGCCGCGUGAACGAUGAAGCCCUUCGGGGUGUAAAGUUCUUUCGACAGGAAUGAUAAUGACGGUACCUGGAGAAGAAGCUGCGGCUAACUACGUGCCAGCAGCCGCGGUAAUACGUAGGCAGCGAGCGUUGUUCGGAGUUACUGGGCGUAAAGAGUGCGUAGGCGGCGAGCCAAGUUUGGUGUGAAAUCUCCCGGCUUAACUGGGAGGGUGCGCCGAAGACUGGGAAGCUGGAGUGUGGGAAAGGCAGGCGGAAUUCCUGGUGUAGCGGUGAAAUGCGUAGAUAUCAGGAGGAACACCGGCGGUGUAGACGGCUUGCUAGACCAUAACUGACGCUGAGGCACGAAAGCGUGGGUAGCAAACA